Molecule: non-coding RNA, 98 nt
Filed under: marine eukaryotic metagenome
Description: Pyrrolysine insertion sequence mttB
Rfam family: Pyrrolysine insertion sequence mttB
Source: RNAcentral
GGCGGAUUCGAAAAUGCCGGAUGCGCAGUCAGGCUAUGAAAAGGGAAGCACGCUGGUGAUGGCCGGCCUGUCCGGCCUCAACAUGGUCUAUGAGGCGG